This is a ribosomal RNA of 872 nucleotides. It matches the Rfam family "Eukaryotic large subunit ribosomal RNA", at positions 66 to 915 of the family's 3401-position model.
UAACAAGGAUUCCCCUAGUAACUGCGAGUGAAGCGGGAAGAGCUCAAAUUUAAAAUCUGGCGGUCUCUGAUCGUCCGAGUUGUAACCUGAAGGAGCGUUUUCCGCGUCGAACCGUGUACAAGUCUCCUGGAACGGAGCGUCAUAGAGGGUGAGAAUCCCGUCCAUGACACGGACGCUCGGUGCUUUUGUGAUACGCUCCCGAAGAGUCGCGUUGUUUGGGAAUGCAGCGCAAAAUGGGUGGUAAAUUCCAUCUAAAGCUAAAUAUUGGCGAGAGACCGAUAGCGAACAAGUACCGUGAGGGAAAGAUGAAAAGCACUUUGAAAAGAGAGUUAAACAGUACGUGAAAUUGUUGAAAGGGAAACGCUUGAAGUCAGUCGUGUCUUGUGGAACUCAGCCUUGCUUCGGCCUGGUGUACUUUCCACUCGACGGGUCAACAUCAAUUUCGACCGGUGGACAAGGGCGAGGGGAAUGUAGCGUCGUUUCGGCGACGUGUUAUAGCCCCUCGUCGCAUACACCGGCUGGGAUUGAGGACCGCAGCGCGCCCUUGUGGCCGGGGGUUCGCCCCACGUACCGCGCUUAGGAUGUUGGCAUAAUGGCUUUAAGCGACCCGUCUUGAAACACGGACCAAGGAGUCUAACAUGCUUGCGAGUGUUCGGGUGGAAAACCCUUGCGCGUAAUGAAAGUGAAAGUUGGGAGCCUCCGCGAGGGGGUGCACCGACGCCCGGCCCUGACGUUCUCUGACGGUGCUGCGGUAGAGCAAGUAUGUUGGGACCCGAAAGAUGGUGAACUAUGCCUGAAUAGGGCGAAGCCAGAGGAAACUCUGGUGGAGGCUCGUAGCGAUUCUGACGUGCAAAUCGAUCGUCAAAUUUGGG